RNAcentral lists this ribosomal RNA (394 nucleotides) under uncultured bacterium. Its description in RNAcentral is "partial 16S ribosomal RNA". It matches the Rfam family "Bacterial small subunit ribosomal RNA", at positions 523 to 917 of the family's 1533-position model. The record is from RNAcentral.
AUACGUAGGGUGCAAGCGUUAAUCGGAAUUACUGGGCGUAAAGCGUGCGCAGGCGGUUUUGUAAGACAGUGGUGAAAUCCCCGGGCUCAACCUGGGAACUUCCCUUGUGAAUGCAAGGCUGGAGUGCGGCAGAGGGGGAUGGAAAUCCGCGUGUAGCAGUGAAAUGCGUAGUAAUGCGGAGGAACACUGAUGGCGAAGGCAAUCCCCUGGGCGUGCACUGACGCUCAUGCACGGAAGCGUGGGGAGCAUACAGGAUUAGAUACCCUGGUAGUCCACGCCCUAAACGAUGUCAACUGGUUGUUGGGUCUUCAUUGACUCAGUAACAAAGCUAACGCGUAAAGUUGACCGCCUGGGGAGUACGGCCGCAAGUUUGAAACUCAAAGGAAUUGGCGGG